UACGUAGGGUCCGAGCGUUGUCCGGAAUUACUGGGCGUAAAGAGCUCGUAGGUGGCUUGUCGCGUUGUUCGUGAAAACUCACAGCUCAACUGUGGGCGUGCGGGCGAUACGGGCAGACUAGAGUACUGCAGGGGAGACUGGAAUUCCUGGUGUAGCGGUGGAAUGCGCAGAUAUCAGGAGGAACACCGGUGGCGAAGGCGGUUCUCUGGGCAUUACCUGACGCUGAGGAGCGAAAGUGUGGGGAGCGAACAGG
RNAcentral lists this ribosomal RNA (253 nucleotides) under uncultured bacterium. RNAcentral describes it as "partial 16S ribosomal RNA". It matches the Rfam family "Bacterial small subunit ribosomal RNA", at positions 524 to 776 of the family's 1533-position model. The record is from RNAcentral.